This 1070-nucleotide long non-coding RNA is filed under the name Papio anubis (olive baboon). RNAcentral's name for it is "lncRNA (ENSPANG00000045587.1)". Lineage: Eukaryota; Metazoa; Chordata; Mammalia; Primates; Cercopithecidae. The record is from RNAcentral.
GAUAUCCAAAUACGAAAUGCUGAUCUUAUGAUAAGCUGAGCCAGGGCAGGCUCUUGCAGAUGAAGAAUGCUGAGUGUGGCUGACCCUACUGGGACCUCCCGAUGUCACGGAGAAGUCUGAUUUGCAGAGUUUCUAGAGCUGCGCUCCUUAACGCUGGGCCCCGUCCUCUGUCCUCACAGCCAACCAGCCAGAUCAGUCUUCAGAUCUCUCUCUGCGUGCACGGUCACGUCAGCUUCUUCCUCUUCUGUCAUCGAAUCUCUGUCUGCCUCCCUCUCAUAAGGACACUUUGGGCCCAGCCAGAUAAUCCAGGAUGAUCGCUCCAUCCCAAGAUCCCUGAUGUACACACAUCUACAAAACCCCUUUGGCAAUGUAAGGCAGCAAUGUAAGGCAGCAUUCCAGGAUUAGGACCUAGGUGUUUGCGGGGAUUAUAUUGAGCCUCCCACAGCCUCCCACACUCUCCCUGCAGCCAGACUGACCCGCUCUUUUUUUUUUUUUUUAGAUGGAGUCUCGCUCUGUGGCCCAGGCUGGAGGGCAGUGGGGUGAUCUUGGUUCACUGCAACCUCCGCCUCCCAGGUUCAAGCGAUUCUCCUGCCUCAGCCUCCCGAGUAGCUGGGAUUAUAGUGGCGCACCACUGUGCCCUGAUAAUUUUUUUGUGUUUUUAGUAGAGACAGGGUUUCACUAUGUUGGCUAGGAUGGUCUCGAUCUCCUGACCUCGUGAUCCACCUGUCUUGGCCUCCCAAAGUGCUGGGAUUACAGGCAAGAGCCACCACGCCUGGCCUUUUUUUUUUUUUUUAAAUGGAGAAAAGAUCUCACUCUGUCACCCAGGCUGGAGUGCAGUGGUGCGAUCACAGCUCACUGCAGCCUCCAAUUCCUGCGCUCAAGCGAUCCUCCCACCUCAGCCUCCCAAGUAACUGGGACUGCAGGUGAACACCACCAUGCCCAGCUUAUUUUUUUAGGUUUUUGUAGAGAUGGGGGCCUUGCUAUGUUGCCCAGGCUGGUCUGGACUCCUGGCCUCAACCGAUCCUCCCACCUUGGCCUUCCAAAGAGCUGGGAUUAAAGACAUGAGCCAC